RNAcentral lists this long non-coding RNA (812 nucleotides) under Mytilus galloprovincialis (Mediterranean mussel). The record is from RNAcentral. Lineage: Eukaryota; Metazoa; Mollusca; Bivalvia; Mytilida; Mytilidae.
GCUGAUUUGGGCAGUUCAGAAUAUCACAUUAUUUCAUGAAAAACGUUGUCAUUUUGUUCAAGAGCUUUUUUUCAUUGAAUUUUAAUAUUGCUAAGCCUUUCGUCAGUUUCAGUUUCUUGAAAAUUUGUUGUGUUAUGCCAAGUUGGUUACUUUUAAACCGAAAUUCAAAAACCGAUACCCUACACGAGGGGGAAAGGGGGCAAUAGGGGUUCCGUUAACAUGUUAACAACACCUAACAAAAAAUGCAAAAAUGCUGAUAACAGUUAACAAAGUGGGUUGAAAAAGUUAACAGCUUAAAAUGAUCUCAGAUAAAGUUAACAACACCUUGGAAAGGGUCAUAACAGGUUAACAUAAAAAUGUAUUGCCCCCCCCCACCCCCCCUAAAACGUAUUGUCCGUACGGCGGUUUUGACAAUUUGACAAGAUCAAAUGCCCAAGCAUUAAACGAAUGGAUAACAACUCCUGACUUCGUACAGACACCACCUUAUGUAGAAAACAGUGGAUUUAACCUGGUUUUAUAGCUAGCCAAACCUUUCACUGCUAUGACAGUCGCUUAAAAUUCCAUUAUAUUGACAACGAUGUGUGACCUAUACAAACACACAUAAUAGUUAAAAAUUUCAAAAAUAAGGGUACAGCAGUCAACAUUGUUUUAUCUUAAUCACCAACAAACAUACACAAUAGGUAAAAAUGUCAAAAAUAGUGGUACAACAGUCAACAUUGUGUGAUAAUCUUAAUCACUAUAAAAAUAAACAAAUAUAUGUCAACAAAAACACAAAAAAGCAUAUAGACAAAGCACGUUCGCAAAAAUGAAAG